RNAcentral lists this ribosomal RNA (504 nucleotides) under uncultured bacterium. RNAcentral describes it as "partial 16S ribosomal RNA". It matches the Rfam family "Bacterial small subunit ribosomal RNA", at positions 30 to 523 of the family's 1533-position model. The record is from RNAcentral.
AUUGAACGCUGGCGGCAGGCCUAACACAUGCAAGUCGAACGGUAGCACAGAGAGCUUGCUCUCGGGUGACGAGUGGCGGACGGGUGAGUAACGUCUGGGAAACUGCCCGAUGGAGGGGGAUAACUACUGGAAACGGUAGCUAAUACCGCAUAACGUCGCAAGACCAAAGUGGGGGACCUUCGGGCCUCACACCAUCGGAUGUGCCCAGAUGGGAUUAGCUAGUAGGUGGGGUAAUGGCUCACCUAGGCGACGAUCCCUAGCUGGUCUGAGAGGAUGACCAGCCACACUAGAACUGAGACACGGUCCAGACUCCUACGGGAGGCAACAGUCGGGAAUAUUGAACAAUGGGCGCAAGCCUGUUGCAGCCAUGCCGCGUGUAUGAAGAAGGCCUUCGGGUUGUAAAGUACUUGCAGCGGGGAGGAAGGCGGUGAAGUUAAUAGCUUCACCGAUUGACGUUACCCGCAGAAGAAGCACCGGCUAACACCGUGCCAGCCGCCGCCGUAA